This 204-nucleotide transfer-messenger RNA is filed under the name Klebsiella pneumoniae. It matches the Rfam family "transfer-messenger RNA", at positions 1 to 209 of the family's 374-position model. Rfam says of the family: Bacterial tmRNA, also known as 10Sa RNA or SsrA, is named for its dual tRNA and mRNA-like properties. Its role is to liberate the mRNA from a stalled ribosome. The record is from RNAcentral. Lineage: Bacteria; Pseudomonadati; Pseudomonadota; Gammaproteobacteria; Enterobacterales; Enterobacteriaceae.
GGGGCUGAUUCUGGAUUCGACGGGAUUUGCGAAACCCAAGGUGCAUGCCGAGGGGCGGUUGGCCUCGUAAAAAGCCGCAAAAAAUAGUCGCAAACGACGAAAACUACGCUUUAGCAGCUUAAUAACCUGCUCUGAGCCCUCUCUCCCUAGCUUCCGCUCUUAAGACGGGGAUCAAAGCGGGUUCAACUCCCGCCAGCUCCACCA